CUCGGAUUGUCACUGAUUAUUCUUCUCUGGUUGUCUUUGUUUUGCAGGAGAGAUAGAUAGAUAGAAUAGACGAAGCUCAUGGAAACUCUGAUUGUUUUGAGUCUGAGGGGUUGCUGCUGGAGAGGGAGGAACUUGGAAGCCAUGAUAUAGCAAACCCCACUUAGAUCUAGCUACUUUCAGAUUUUGAAAAAAGGCACUUCACCGAUCAAAAAAAAAUGGCACUUAGUUCACAAUUGGGUGCUGAUGUUAACCAUUAAGCACAUGGUAGACCACCACUCAGUUUUAUCGAAUUGAUAGGUGCACUGCUCAGUUUCGGAAAUUGAGCGGUGCAAUGGCAGGACACCACUUCGUUCCGCAGAAUGAGUGUGCACUGCUCAGUCUCGGGUACUGAGCGGUGCAAUGGCAGGUCACCGUCAGUUCCUAAAACUGAGAGGUCCAAAGCUAUGUGUCUAAUGGAGAACGUCACACUUAAUGGAACUGAUCAGCUUCCGGACAAAUGAAACUAUUGGAAAACAGGUAAAUGAGCUUCUCUUUUCCUCCUUUUUUUUUUGUCGUUUUUCUUUCUUAUUUUAUUGAAAUCGAUGUUGGAAGUUUGGUACACAGCAAGGCAGUGAUACUCCCUAUGUAGUUCAGCUACAGCUGCUGGAACAUAGCUAAGUCUGAUUCUUGGGUAACGUUUCAAUGAAAAUAGCCCUAUUUAGCUUUUGUUAUAUUGCUGACUUUGGUACUCUGCUAGUAUAUUUAGGUGCACAUUCUUAACACUCUCAAUUUAUACUUAAAUUGCCCUUAUUUCUAGAAUGCCUGAGUUUUUUUUUGCUUGGUACAUGUCUAUCAUUUUGUUCAAGGUUUCUGCCCCUUCUUCUGAUGACUGUCAGGUCAGUACAUUUUUGCCUUAACAAAGAUAUUUGUUUCUAACUUGAGUGUUGCUUUUGUUUUUGUUUUUUGCAGGUCUUGCCUUUGCAUUCCUAACUCUAACUCUAUGUUUAUUAACACUUAUUAUCAUGUUUAUUAUGUUUUGCAUAAAAUUGUUUCUAACUUGAUCAUUGGAGUAUCUUUAUUGUUUUUUUUUUGCAGGUCUUGCCUUUGUAUUCCUAACUCUAACUCCAUGUUUAUUAACCCUAACUCUACUUUUAUUAUGUUUUGCAUAAAAUUGUUUCUACCUUGAGCGUUGGAGUAUCUUUAUAGUUUUUUGCAGGUCUUGGCUUUGUAUUCCUAACUCUAACUCUACGUUUAUUAUGUUUUGCACAAAAUUGUUUCUAACUUGAGCCUUGGAGUGUCUUUAUUGUUUUUUUGCAGGUCUUGGCUUUGUAUUCCUAACUCUAACUCUAUGUUUGUUAUGUUUUGCAUAAAAUUGUUUCUAACUUGAGCGUUGGAUUAUGUUUAUUGUUUUUUUGCAGGUCUUGGCUUUGUAUUCCUAAUUCUAACUCUAUAUUUAUUACGUUUUGCAUAAAAUCGUUUCUAACUUGAGUGUUGGAGUAUCUUUAUUGUUUAAUGCAUGUCUUGGUUUUGUAUUCCUAACUCUAACUCUACGUUUAUUAUGUUUUGCAUAAAAUUGUUUCUAACUUGAGCGUUGGAUUAUGUUUAUUGUUUUUUUGCAGGUCUUGGCUUUGUAUUCCUAACUCUAACUCCAGAAGUUUUCGCAAUUCAAUCAUGUAUGAUGGAAUCAUCAAAGAUUUGAUCUUUUCGAACUCUGUCUGUAACUCACUAGAGGCCCGGGAAACAAAGAGAAGAUGUGUACGAACGAGAUAUCCAGCAACAAGAAGAAUAUUUAUUACGUUUUGCAUAAAAUUGUUUCUAACUUGAGUGUUGGAGUAUCUUUAUUGUUUAAUGCAGGUCUUGGUUUUGUAUUCCUAACUCUAACUCUACGUUUAUUAUGUUUUGCAUAAAAUUGUUUCUAACUUGAGUGUUGGAGUAUCUUUAUUGUUUUUUGCAGGUCUUGGCUUUGUAUUCCUAACUCUAACUCUAUGUUUAUUAUGUUUUGCAUAAAAUUGUUUCUAACUUGAGCCUUGGAGUAUCUUUAUUGUUUUUGCAGGUCUUGGCUUUGUAUUCCUAACUCUAACUCUAUGUUUAUUAACCCUUAACUCUACGUUUAUUAUGUUUUGCAUAAAACUGUUUCUAACUUGAGCGUCGGAGUAUCUUCCUUGUUUUUUUGCAGGUCUUGCCUUUGUAUUCCUAUGGCCAAUUCAAUUAGUAGAGUUGUUGAAAUGGAAUGCUGGUACCUCGCGGGGAACGUCAUCUGUUUGGCUUUUGAUCAGUUUGCCUCUAGGGUAUGUCUGACUUUAAAGGAUACAAAUGAAGACAGAUCAGUCCUGUGAAUCAUGUACUAAUGAGAUCCUCCUCUUCCCUGAAGGAGGCUGCAUUUUAACUCAAAAGGUCUUGUCUGCUUAUUGGGUGGCCACUCGCCAGGGAGAACUUGUAAUGUGGAACGCUGGUGCCUGGUAGAGAAUGCCUGGCAUUUGACCAGUCUGUUGUCAAGGCUUAACAUGCAAAAGACGUGCCAGGAGAUUUAGCAGGAUGUGAAAAGCGCAGGAUGUGAAAAGUGCAACGAUGCGGUGAGACUUGAUAAGCCUGGUGGUCUGUUGAGAGAUAAAAAUGAACAAUUGGUGGUUCCAGAGGUUCUUUGCGUUGCGUAGUUUUUCCUGAUGAAGCUCCGAGCAACAUUGUGAGUAAGCAGGGUAGUGAAAGUAGAAACGAAUCUGAAGGCAAUGUCACUAAAGAGAUGCAAACUUAUUGGUAAAAUUGAGGAGGAUAUAUCCGCCACGAAUUCUGUUGUGGUUCACGCGAAGCUGACAUCAUGCCUUUCUGCUGCAAUCUCCUUGACUCCAUCAUCAAUAGUGAAUGAGAAUUAGAUGGAAUAGUGGUUGUAAAUUCUGACUGAGGAUGAUGUUGUGCCUGCAGAUAUGGUCCAAAAUUGAUGUUGAGGUGCUUCUCAUGUGCAGGAGAAGGCAGGCCGGAUUUUAAGAAUAUGGACCGUUUUUGUAGAAGUUUUAGGAUGUUUUUGAACAAUGCCAAGUUUAUUAUUACGUAGUUA
Molecule: long non-coding RNA, 3031 nt
Organism: Papaver somniferum (opium poppy)
Lineage: Eukaryota; Viridiplantae; Streptophyta; Magnoliopsida; Ranunculales; Papaveraceae
Exons: 5
Source: RefSeq, a predicted model, not a curated record